This 460-nucleotide ribosomal RNA is filed under the name uncultured bacterium. Its description in RNAcentral is "partial 16S ribosomal RNA". It matches the Rfam family "Bacterial small subunit ribosomal RNA", at positions 338 to 795 of the family's 1533-position model. The record is from RNAcentral.
CCUACGGGAGGCUGCAGUGAGGAAUAUUGGUCAAUGGACGCAAGUCUGAACCAGCCAUGCCGCGUGCAGGAAGACGGCUCUAUGAGUUGUAAACUGCUUUUGUACGAGGGAAAACGCAGAUACGCGUAUCUGUCUGAAAUUAUCGUACGACUAAGGAUCGGCCAACUCCGUGCCGGCAGCCGCGGUACUACGGAGGAUUCAAGCGUUACCCGGAUUUAUUGGGGUUAAAGGGUGCGUAGGCGGUCGGGUAAGUUAAGGGUGAAAUCCCGAGGCUCAACUUCGGAAUUGCCUCUGAUACUGGUCGGCUAGAGAGUAGUUGCGGUAGGCGGAAUGUAUGGUGUAGCGGUGAAAUGCGUAGAGAUCAUACAGAACACCGAUUGCGAAGGCAUCUAACGAAUCCGCGAUUGACGCUGAUGCACGAAAGCGUGGGUAUCAAACAGGAUUAGAUACCCCAGUAGUC